AGCGAACGCUGGCGGCAGGCUUAACACAUGCAAGUCGAGCGGGCGUAGCAAUACGUCAGCGGCAGACGGGUGAGUAACACGUGGGAACGUACCUUUUGGUUCGGAACAACACAGGGAAACUUGUGCUAAUACCGAAUAAGCCCUUACGGGGAAGAUUUAUCGCCGAAAGAUCGGCCCGCGUCUGAUUAGCUUGUUGGUGAGGUAACGGCUCACCAAGGCGACGAUCAGUAGCUGGUCNGAGAGGAUGAU
This 249-nucleotide ribosomal RNA is filed under the name uncultured bacterium. Its description in RNAcentral is "partial 16S ribosomal RNA". It matches the Rfam family "Bacterial small subunit ribosomal RNA", at positions 29 to 304 of the family's 1533-position model. The record is from RNAcentral.